ACUCAGUGAAAUUGAACUCGCUGUGAAGAUGCAGUGUACCCGCGGCAAGACGGAAAGACCCCGUGAACCUUUACUAUAGCUUGACACUGAACAUUGAGCCUUGAUGUGUAGGAUAGGUGGGAGGCUUUGAAGCGUGGACGCCAGUCUGCGUGGAGCCGACCUUGAAAUACCACCCUUUAAUGUUUGAUGUUCUAACGUGGACCCGUAAUCCGGGUUGCGGACAGUGUCUGGUGGGUAGUUUGACUGGGGCGGUCUCCUCCUAAAGAGUAACGGAGGAGCACGAAGGUUGGCUAAUCCUGGUCGGACAUCAGGAGGUUAGUGCAAUGGCAUAAGCCAGCUUGACUGCGAGCGUGACGGCGCGAGCAGGUGCGAAAGCAGGUCAUAGUGAUCCGGUGGUUCUGAAUGGAAGGGCCAUCGCUCAACGGAUAAAAGGUACUCCGGGGAUAACAGGCUGAUACCGCCCAAGAGUUCAUAUCGACGGCGGUGUUUGGCACCUCGAUGUCGGCUCAUCACAUCCUGGGGCUGAAGUAGGUCCCAAGGGUAUGGCUGUUCGCCAUUUAAAGUGGUACGCGAGCUGGGUUUAGAACGUCGUGAGACAGUUCGGUCCCUAUCUGCCGUGGGCGCUGGAGAACUGAGGGGGGCUGCUCCUAGUACGAGAGGACCGGAGUGGACGCAUCACUGGUGUUCGGGUUGUCAUGCCAAUGGCACUGCCCGGUAGCUAAAUGCGGAAGAGAUAAGUGCUGAAAGCAUCUAAGCACGAAACUUGCCCCGAGAUGAGUUCUCCCUGAGACUUAGAGUCUCCUGAAGGAACGUUGAAGACGACGACGUUGAUAGGCCGGGUGUGUAAGCGCAGCGAUGCGUUGAGCUAACCGGUACUAAUGAACCGUGAGGCUUAACCUUACAACGCCGAAG
Molecule: ribosomal RNA, 912 nt
Filed under: Salmonella enterica
Lineage: Bacteria; Pseudomonadati; Pseudomonadota; Gammaproteobacteria; Enterobacterales; Enterobacteriaceae
Description: partial 23S ribosomal RNA
Rfam family: Bacterial large subunit ribosomal RNA
Source: RNAcentral